AGUGAACGCUGGCGGCGUGCUUAACACAUGCAAGUCGAACGAGAACGGAUUAUAGCUUGCUAUAAUUGUCAGCUAAGUGGCGCACGGGUGAGUAAUGUAUAGGUAAUAUGCCUCUUACUAAGGGAUAACAAAUGGAAACGUUUGCUAAUACCUUAUACUCCUUAUUAACAGAAGUUAAUAAGGGAAAGAUUUAUUGGUAAGAGAUUAGCCUGUAUUGUAUCAGUUAGUUGGUGGGGUAAUGGCUUACCAAGACUAUGACACAUAACUGGUUUGAGAGGAUGAUCAGUCACACUGGAACUGAGACACGGUCCAGACUCCUACGGGAGGCAGCAGUGGGGAAUAUUGCACAAUGGACGAAAGUCUGAUGCAGCAACGCCGCGUGGAGGAUGACACAUUUCGGUGCGUAAACUCCUUUUAUAUGAGAAGAUAAUGACGGUAUUAUAUGAAUAAGCACCGGCUAACUCCGUGCCAGCAGCCGUACGG
Molecule: ribosomal RNA, 483 nt
Filed under: uncultured bacterium
Lineage: Bacteria
Description: bacterial SSU rRNA
Rfam family: Bacterial small subunit ribosomal RNA
Source: RNAcentral